AUAAACUCGCCUAAAGGUUGUACAUUAAGUAAUUGCAGCCGCUCCCCUGACUCCCUCUUCAUUCACUUCAGCGCGACACUUCGUCGAGCUCGGUCGCACGCUUCAGUCGACUCCCAUCACUCCAAUCUUGAACUUAAUAAGCAUGGCAAUGGGUCCGCAGUUGAUGGUAGCAAUGACAAUACUUGCAGUCCUUCUACCUCUCUCGUUUGCGGACAGGUGCAGAGAGAUUUGUGAAAAGGUUAACUUUGCUGAUCAGUGCGGAACCUGUCUUGGCAGGGCUCCGGUGCGAUUUGGCAAACGAUCUUCUUCGGAUGUGGGCUCCAUGUUACGAGGGAUGUCGCCCGCUUCGUCCUCUCACUUGCUGUCAUUACUCCUCGAACGAGCGGCCCGAUUACAUGCUCGAUAUGAUGUUCCACAUUGUGUCUAAGCGGGUUUCCUCUUAUAUAUAAUUUGUUUAAGUUAAUCUACUGCUCAAUAUGUAAAAUCAAAACUAUCCAGCAUAUAGCGUAAAACGAGAGAAUAUAUGCA
Long non-coding RNA from Macrosteles quadrilineatus (aster leafhopper), 528 nucleotides. RefSeq lists it as uncharacterized. NCBI's taxonomy places the organism in Eukaryota, Metazoa, Arthropoda, Insecta, Hemiptera, Cicadellidae. The record is from RefSeq and is a predicted model, not a curated record. The transcript is spliced from 3 exons.